Molecule: ribosomal RNA, 907 nt
Filed under: uncultured Chloroflexota bacterium
Lineage: Bacteria; Bacillati; Chloroflexota
Description: bacterial SSU rRNA
Rfam family: Bacterial small subunit ribosomal RNA
Source: RNAcentral
GUGGCGCACGGCUGAGGAACACGUGGGUGACCUGCCCCGGAGUGGGGGAUACCCCGUCGAAAGACGGGACAAUCCCGCAUACGGUUUACGGAGGAAAGCCCCUACGGGCGCUCUGGGAGGGGCCUGCGGCCAUCAGGUUGUUGGUGUGGUAACGGGGCACCAAGCCACUGACGGGUACCGGUUUGAGAGGACGGCCGGGCAGACUGGGACUGCGACACGGCCCAGACUCCUACGGGAGGCAGCAGCAAGGAAUUUUUCCCAAAUGGGCGCAAGCCUGAGGGAGCAACGCCGCGUGGAGGACGACGGCCUUCGGGUUGUAAACUCCUUUCGGGUGGGACGACCACGACGGUACCACCAGAAGCAGCCCCGGCUAACUCUGUGCCAGCAGCCGCGGUAAGACAGAGGGGGCAAGCGUUGUCCGGAGUUACUGGGCGUAAAGGGCGCGGAGGCGGUCUGCGGCGUGCGGCGCUGAAAGCGCCCCGCUUAACGGGGCGAGGCGUGCCGAUACGCGCAGACUUGAGGCGAGCAGAGGGUGGUGGAAUUCCGGGUGGAGCGGUGAAAUGCGUAGAGAUCCGGAGGAACGCCAGUGAGGAAGCCGGCCACCUGGGCUCGUCCUGACGCUGCGACGCGACAGCGUGGGGAGCAAACCGGAUUAGAUACCCGGGUAGUCCACGCCGUAAACGAUGCCAGCUCGGCGUGUGCGCACGGUUGUCGCUGCGUGCCUUAGCUCACGCGAUAAGCUGGCCGCCUGGGGACUACGAGCGCAAGCUUAAAACUCAAAGGAAUUGACGGGGGCCCGCACAAGCAGCGGAGCGUGUGGUUUAAUUCGACGCAACACGAAGAACCUUACCUGGGCUUGACAUGACGCUGCACGCCGUCGAAAGACGGCCGCCUGCGAGGGCCCGUC